UGGGGAAUUUUGGACAAUGGGGGCAACCCUGAUCCAGCAAUGCCGCGUGAGUGAAGAAGGCCUUCGGGUUGUAAAGCUCUUUUGUCCGGGAAGAAAUCCCAUCUGUUAAUACCGGGUGGGGAUGACGGUACUGGAAGAAUAAGCACCGGCUAACUACGUGCCAGCAGCCGCGGUAAUACGUAGGGUGCAAGCGUUAAUCGGAAUUACUGGGCGUAAAGCGUGCGCAGGCGGUUGUGCAAGACCGAUGUGAAAUCCCCGGGCUUAACCUGGGAACUGCAUUGGUGACUGCACGGCUAGAGUGUGUCAGAGGGGGGUAGAAUUCCACGUGUAGCAGUGAAAUGCGUAGAGGUGUGGAGGAAUACCGAUGGCGAAGGCAGCCCCCUGGGAUAACACUGACGCUGAGGCGCGAAAGCUAGGGGAGCAAA
This 425-nucleotide ribosomal RNA is filed under the name uncultured bacterium. Its description in RNAcentral is "bacterial SSU rRNA". It matches the Rfam family "Bacterial small subunit ribosomal RNA", at positions 355 to 772 of the family's 1533-position model. The record is from RNAcentral.